CGCCUACGGGAGGCAGCAGUGAGGAAUAUUGGUCAAUGGCCGAGAGGCUGAACCAGCCAAGUCGCGUGAGGGAUGACGGCCCUACGGGUUGUAAACCUCUUUUGUCGGGGAGCAAAGAGAGUCACGUGUGGCUCAUUGAGAGUACCCGAAGAAAAAGCAUCGGCUAACUCCGUGCCAGCAGCCGCGGUAAUACGUAGGGGGCAAGCGUUAUCCGGAUUUACUGGGUGUAAAGGGAGCGUAGGCGGCUGUGUAAGCCAGAAGUGAAAGCCCGAGGCUCAACCACGGGACUGCUUUUGGAACUACAU
Molecule: ribosomal RNA, 305 nt
Filed under: uncultured bacterium
Lineage: Bacteria
Description: bacterial SSU rRNA
Rfam family: Bacterial small subunit ribosomal RNA
Source: RNAcentral